This 253-nucleotide ribosomal RNA is filed under the name uncultured bacterium. RNAcentral describes it as "partial 16S ribosomal RNA". It matches the Rfam family "Bacterial small subunit ribosomal RNA", at positions 524 to 776 of the family's 1533-position model. The record is from RNAcentral.
UACAGAGGGUGCAAGCGUUGUUCGGAAUUAUUGGGCGUAAAGGGCGCGUAGGCGGUUCGGCAAGUCUCUAGUGAAAUCUCUGGGCUCAACUCAGAGUCUGCUGGGGAAACUGCCGGGCUUGAGUAUGGAAGAGGGUCUCGGAAUUCCCGGUGUAGAGGUGAAAUUCGUAGAGAUCGGGAGGAACACCAGUGGCGAAGGCGGAGACCUGGGCCAAUACUGACGCUGAGGUGCGAAAGCGUGGGGAGCAAACAGG